This 72-nucleotide transfer RNA is filed under the name Ictidomys tridecemlineatus (thirteen-lined ground squirrel). RNAcentral describes it as "Spermophilus tridecemlineatus (thirteen-lined ground squirrel) tRNA". It matches the Rfam family "tRNA". From Rfam's summary of the family: Transfer RNA (tRNA) molecules are approximately 80 nucleotides in length. Their secondary structure includes four short double-helical elements and three loops (D, anti-codon, and T loops). Lineage: Eukaryota; Metazoa; Chordata; Mammalia; Rodentia; Sciuridae. The record is from Rfam by way of RNAcentral.
GAGGAUGCAGCUCAGGGCUAGAGUGCUUGCCUCCCAUGCAUGAAGCCCUGGGUUUGAUCCCAGGUACCUUUG